This 475-nucleotide ribosomal RNA is filed under the name uncultured bacterium. Its description in RNAcentral is "bacterial SSU rRNA". It matches the Rfam family "Bacterial small subunit ribosomal RNA", at positions 335 to 800 of the family's 1533-position model. The record is from RNAcentral.
ACUCCUACGGGAGGCAGCAGUGGGGAAUAUUGCACAAUGGGGGAAACCCUGAUGCAGCCAUGCCGCGUGUGUGAAGAAGGCCUUCGGGUUGUAAAGCACUUUCAGUAGGGAGGAAGGUAGUGUAGUUAACACCUGCACUAUUUGACGUUACCUACAGAAGAAGCACCGGCUAACUCCGUGCCAGCAGCCGCGGUAAGUACGGAGGGUGCGAGCGUUAAUCGGAAUUACGUGGGCGUAAAGCGCAUGCAGGCGGCCUGUUAAGUCAGAUGUGAAAGCCCGGGGCUUAACCUCGGAAUUGCAUUUGAAACUGGCAGGCUAGAGUCUUGUAGAGGGGUUAGAAUUUCAGGUGUAGCGGUGAAAUGCGUAGAGAUCUGAAGGAAUACCGAGUGGCGAAGGCGGCCCCUGGACAAAGACUGACGCUCAGAUGCGAAAGCGGUGGGAGCAAACAGGAUUAGAUACCCCUGGUAGCGACUGA